This is a long non-coding RNA of Bos taurus (domestic cattle), 671 nucleotides long. The record is from Ensembl. Lineage: Eukaryota; Metazoa; Chordata; Mammalia; Artiodactyla; Bovidae.
AGGUGGAAGGGAGAGUCAGAGAUUCAAAGCAUGAGGAAUUCGGGCCACACGAGGAGUCUAGGCAGCCUGUAGGAACAGAGAGAAGCUCCCAGUGCCCAGCCAGCCAGGAAACAGGACCUCAGAGCCAUAGCCACAGGGAACUGGAUUCUGCCAGCAAAAGAGGUAGGUUCUUCCCGAGAUCCUCCAGGCAAGAUCCCAGCCCAGUGGACACCUUGAUUUCGGCCUUGUGGGACCCUGAGCAGAAAACCCAGGUUUAAAGAGGCAAUGUUCCCAAAAGAAAUGGCAAAGAAAGGAGUUCCUUUCACAGUCAGCAGACCUGUGUUCCCAGCUGGAUGCAGCUGGAUCCAUGAAUGACAAGGAAGAUAAGAGCUGCCCCACAAAGCUGAACACCUGUUCAAGACUACUAGAUACUCAGCUCUGCUGUUGUGGUACAGAAGCAUGAUGAAUAUAUAAACAACCCUCACGCUAGAAAACUCGCAGAAAAAGGAGCAAGCGGACCGGCUUUUUUCAACUCCCCGCGGAAGUACUCUCACCGGAACUCCUCCGUGUUUGCGCUUUCCCAUUGGCGGAAGCUUCUGCCAGCUUCCAGUAGCUUCCGCCCACGACUCGGUUGGGCGGAGCUUUCCCUGGAAGUCACUUCCGCUAACCCCGCCCCUCGUUCCCUUUUUGGC